This 616-nucleotide ribosomal RNA is filed under the name uncultured Legionella sp. RNAcentral describes it as "bacterial SSU rRNA". It matches the Rfam family "Bacterial small subunit ribosomal RNA", at positions 242 to 849 of the family's 1533-position model. Lineage: Bacteria; Pseudomonadati; Pseudomonadota; Gammaproteobacteria; Legionellales; Legionellaceae. The record is from RNAcentral.
UAGCUAGUUGGUGGGGUAAAGGCCUACCAAGGCGACGAUCGGUAGCUGGUCUGAGAGGAUGGCCAGCCACACUGGGGCUGAGACACGGUCCAGACUCCUACGGGAGGCAGCAGUGGGGAAUAUUGGACAAUGGGGGGAACCCUGAUCCAGCAAUGCCGCGUGUGUGAAGAAGGCCUGAGGGUUGUAAAGCACUUUCAGUGGGGAGGAGGUUUGAUUGGUUAAGAGCUGAUUGAAUGGACGUUACCCACAGAAGAAGCACCGGCUAACUCCGUGCCAGCAGCCGCGGUAAUACGGAGGGUGCGAGCGUUAAUCGGAAUUACUGGGCGUAAAGGGUGCGUAGGUGGUUGUUUAAGUUAUCUGUGAAAUCCCUGGGCUCAACCUGGGCAGGUCAGAUAAUACUGAAUAACUCGAGUAUAGGAGAGGGUAGUGGAAUUUCCGGUGUAGCGGUGAAAUGCGCAGAGAUCGGAAGGAACACCAGUGGCGAUGGCGGCUACCUGGCCUGAUACUGACACUGAGGCACGAAAGCGUGGGGAGCAAACAGGAUUAGAUACCCUGGUAGUCCACGCUGUAAACGAUGUCAACUAGCUGUUGGUUAUAUGAAUAUAAUUAGUGGCGC